GAUGAACGCUGGCGGCGUGCCUAAUACAUGCAAGUCGAGCGAACGGGCGAUGAGCUUGCUUCGCUGAUGUUUGCGGCGGAGGGGUGAAUAACACGUGUAUCCCCUCCCUAUAUGUCUGGGAAAACUUCGAAAAUCCGGCGCUAACAGGGGAUAAUAUUUUGAACCGCAUGGUUCGAUAGUGAAAGACGGUCUUGCUGUCUGGUAUAGCUGGAUCCGCGCUGCAUUAGCUAGUUGGUAAGGUAACGGCUUACCAAGGCAACGAUGCAUAGCCGACGUGAGAGGGUGAUCGGCGACACUGGAGGUUGGACACGGUCCAGACUCCUACGGGAGGCAGCAGUAGGGAAUCGUCCGCAAAGGGCGAAAGCCUUGCGCAGCAGCGCCGCGUCAGUGAUGAAGGUCUUCGGAUCGUAAAACUCUGUUAUUAGGGAAGAACAGAUGUGUAAGGAACCGUGCACAGCUUGACGGUACCUAAUCAGAAAGCCACGGCUAACUACGUG
RNAcentral lists this ribosomal RNA (497 nucleotides) under uncultured bacterium. RNAcentral describes it as "partial 16S ribosomal RNA". It matches the Rfam family "Bacterial small subunit ribosomal RNA", at positions 28 to 507 of the family's 1533-position model. The record is from RNAcentral.